Molecule: long non-coding RNA, 859 nt
Organism: Homo sapiens (human)
Lineage: Eukaryota; Metazoa; Chordata; Mammalia; Primates; Hominidae
Source: Ensembl
AUUCCCUCCCAGCCAGCAGGGAACUUCUGGAACUUCUAAACAGCACAUCCUCGAGCCAGCCCAGGCCCCCACAGCAUCCUGCACCCCAGGUUUACAAGCUUUUUAAUGGUAAGUAACACAUUUGGCAAACCUCCUCAAGUGUGAGCCAAGCCAGGCCUUUUUCCCCAAGUCCCAAGUAACAAAGGGAUGCUGGGCUGGGCCAAAAACAGGAUCUAUCUAGCCAGAUGAGCCUAGAGCCUUGGUUCUCGGGGCCAAGGCUGGACAGGACCAGAGGGAAAUGUCCUCGGCCAGCCUCACUCUGGUCUCCGUCACCAUGCAGGCUGGUCCAGAGAUUUCAGGAUGCAUCACUGAUUCCAGGCAGGGCUCCAUCCCCGGCCCACACUCAGCCCAGGACCUGGCCAGAGAAUCACCAAGCAUUCCCGGCAACACGAUGCACGGCCCAUUUUCCAUGCCAGGCUCUUCCAGGGUCUCUGGGUGGGAGCAGCCCGGCCUUCUCACUGGGUUCCUGCUAUGUCUGGGGGGUACAAAAAGCUUAUGUUGGCCAGGCGCAGUGGCUCAUGCCUGUAAUGCCAGCACUUUGGGAAGCCAAGGCAGGCAGAUCAAUUGAGGACAGGAGUUCAAGACCAGCAUGGCCAACAUGGUGAAAUCCUGUCUCUACUGAAAAUACAAAAAUUAGCCAGGCAUGGUGGCACAUCCUAUAGUCCCAGCUACUCAGGAGGCUGAAGCAGGAGAAUCACUUGAACCUGGGAGGCAGAGGUUGCAGUGAGCCAAGAUUGCGCCCCUGCACUCCAGCCUGGGCGACAGAGCGAAAACCUGUCUUAAAAAUAAAUGAAUAAAUAAAUAAAGGUAUAUGUCUCCA